UCUACGUCCCGGAUGAGGAACUCCGUUGUUACGCAGUCCGGGGCCAAUCUAGCCUCCACUGUAAGAAUUCCGAGGCGCGUGAGGGAUAAGGCCUCCUUGGCACACCCAAAGUGGUCAGUCUUUAACAGGAGGGCGCCCGCUCGCAUGUAUCUGACGUCUAAAAGAUCCGAAUGGCUCGAAAUUGCCGAACGCAACUGCUCGCUCGGUUUUAAUUUCGGGAGAGGGUGAGCCCCGGGCCUGGAAAGAAAGACAGCAAACGGCCACGGACGGAAGUGGAUGGACUGACAAUAGUCCACCUUUUCCACGUCCGUCCAGUCACCGACCGCCCUAUCCACCGAGACGUCGGCCGAGGGAAGGUCCUCUCCGUCCAUGUGGCAACGGAGAAGGCAAGCAAAUACCUGGGAUUCACGAAAGGACCCAAAAAACCCCCCCAAUACCUGUGCUCAAGUAUAAGAGUAUAAUCCGGGCAAACUCCUCCGAUCCCCUAAACUGCACCUCCACCGACGGAAACGCCAAAGAGAACCAGUAGAGAUGCUCCGUGAAAGAAGUCGUAUCAAAACACUGGCCAAAUAAUAUCUUCUAAAGUUCCUUUUUGUUGUAAAAACUCCAAAAGGAAAAGUUCCAACCUCGUGGCACUUAUUACACUUCCAACCUUCCAACCUCCUCUCCUCUCGAGCGAUUAAGACUCUUCCAGUCGGCAAUUCUCACAUAAGCCAAAGCGGCUGAUUUUAUUAAGCAGCGAUUUGAUAAAGCAUCGGGCACUGUAAUACUGCCAAAAUGAACGGUACUGAUUGGUCAAGCGCGAUGAUUAAUGCGUGCGUAUGUACAAACUCGAUGGCUGAGAGGGGGGUUGGUGGCAGAUACAGUCCACAGCGAUAAUUUACCUUCAGUCUUUAUGAUAGCAUCAUCACGGACAAAAAACUUUGGCUGAUUUUAUAGUUAAAAUAUAUAUAUAUAUAUAUAU
Molecule: long non-coding RNA, 964 nt
Filed under: Androctonus crassicauda
Lineage: Eukaryota; Metazoa; Arthropoda; Arachnida; Scorpiones; Buthidae
Source: RNAcentral